AAAGAUGUUCACCAAAAUAGUUUCUAUUGGUUCUUUAGCUAGAGCAUAUAGUGUUGUCUCUAUUGGUUCAGGUCUUUGUUUUCGCCCCUGCCUAUCUAGCUCAUGUGGGUGAUCUUGGAGGCUGCAACAAAUUUGCACACACAUGGUAUAUUGACAUACCAACAUGUGAAGGAUGUACUCUUGAAUGAUAGCACUCCUGCAGCGGCAAUAGUACUGUAAGUAUAAUCAUACACUGCAUUUAGCUGGUAUAUACAUUUUUUUGAUGUAUGCAUGAUGAAAUAUACCUGAAUAAUAAGAACUUUCAGCUGCUCCCUAAAUUGAUCCAUGGGAAAACCUUUUCCAUGCAUCAGCAUCAAUGAAACUUUCUGAAGUUUAGACCGAACCAUCUUUUAGCUGCUCCCUAAAUUGAUCCAUGAGAAAAGUUCAAGGUUCAUAUAUAUAUAUUAUAAAUUGCAUUUAGUGCAAAUUAACUUGCCAUACUUUUCUAGAAGAAAAGACGUGCUUCAGUAACUUGGAGUUGGCAAUCAAAUAGUAUAUUGAGGUAGGUAAUUUUAUACAGUAGCAGAAAAGAAGUCCUAGUUACCAAGGAUUUAUACUUGUGGGUCACGUUUCCUCUUCUCCGGUGUAUAUCACCAUGCAAGGGAAAUACACCUGGUCUUUUAAAAGCUGGAAGAACAAAUACCAAAUGGAUAAUCGAUGAGAUACGUGUGACAACAUUACAUCUUAUGGCAAUACUGCUGUAUUAAGAACUCAAUCUGAUAAAAAAAAAAGGGUCAACAAUAUACUACGUGUGACAACAUUACAUCUUAUGGCAAUACUGCUGUAUUAAGAACUCAAUCUGAUAAAAAAAGGGUCAACAAUAUACUACAGUUUUAGUAAACAUAUAUGGAAUAUCACAUUAACUAACU
This is a non-coding RNA of Lolium perenne, 908 nucleotides long. Lineage: Eukaryota; Viridiplantae; Streptophyta; Magnoliopsida; Poales; Poaceae. The record is from RefSeq and is a predicted model, not a curated record.